AUUGAACGCUGGCGGCAUGCUUUACACAUGCAAGUCGAACGGCAGCGCGGGCUUCGGCCUGGCGGCGAGUGGCGAACGGGUGAGUAAUACAUCGGAACGUGCCCAGUAGUGGGGGAUAGCUCGGCGAAAGCCGGAUUAAUACCGCAUACGACCUGAGGGUGAAAGCGGGGGAUCUUCGGACCUCGCGCUAUUGGAGCGGCCGAUGGCAGAUUAGCUAGUUGGUGGGGUAAAGGCCUACCAAGGCGACGAUCUGUAGCUGGUCUGAGAGGACGACCAGCCACACUGGGACUGAGACACGGCCCAGACUCCUACGGGAGGCAGCAGUGGGGAAUUUUGGACAAUGGGCGGAAGCCUGAUCCAGCAAUGCCGCGUGUGUGAUGAAGGCCUUCGGGUUGUAAAGCACUUUUGGCGGGAACGAAAAGGACUGUGCCAAUACCACGGCUCGAUGACGGUACCCGCAGAAUAAGCACCGGCUAACUACGUG
Molecule: ribosomal RNA, 484 nt
Filed under: uncultured bacterium
Lineage: Bacteria
Description: partial 16S ribosomal RNA
Rfam family: Bacterial small subunit ribosomal RNA
Source: RNAcentral